CCUACGGGAGGCAGCAGUAGGGAAUAUUGCUCAAUGGGGGAAACCCUGAAGCAGCAACGCCGCGUGGAGGAUGAAGGUUUUCGGAUUGUAAACUCCUUUUGUUAGAGAAGAUAAUGACGGUAUCUAACGAAUAAGCACCGGCUAACUCCGUGCCAGCAGCCGCGGUAAUACGGAGGGUGCAAGCGUUACUCGGAAUCACUGGGCGUAAAGAGCGCGUAGGCGGGAUAACAAGUCAGAUGUGAAAUCCUAGGGCUUAACCAUAGAACUGCAUUUGAAACUGUGAUUCUAGAGUAUGGGAGAGGUAGGUGGAAUUCUUGGUGUAGGGGUAAAAUCCGUAGAGAUCAAGAGGAAUACUCAUUGCGAAGGCGACCUGCUAGAACAUAACUGACGCUGAUGCGCGAAAGCGUGGGGAGCAAACAGGAUUAGAUACCCCUGUAGUC
RNAcentral lists this ribosomal RNA (440 nucleotides) under uncultured bacterium. RNAcentral's name for it is "partial 16S ribosomal RNA". It matches the Rfam family "Bacterial small subunit ribosomal RNA", at positions 338 to 795 of the family's 1533-position model. The record is from RNAcentral.